This 399-nucleotide ribosomal RNA is filed under the name Triticum aestivum (bread wheat). Its description in RNAcentral is "partial small subunit ribosomal RNA". Lineage: Eukaryota; Viridiplantae; Streptophyta; Magnoliopsida; Poales; Poaceae. The record is from RNAcentral.
AUGAUCAGCACCAGGAAGGAUAGAUCAAUUGCAGCUUUUAUCCAGAAGCUAAACCAGCAUAUUCGACGACAGGAGAACCAGAUGUGCGCCGACAUGAUAGAUCUGAAGAAGGCUAAGACUAGAAUCAAGGAACUGGAGGAAGAACUCAAGGCUACACGUGAAGAUUAUAAAGAGGAAAGUGAAGUAUUGGUGAAAAAGAAUAACGACCUGAUCAAGAAGAUUGGAAUAUUUAUGAGAGGCCCAACACCCGUAGAUGAAGACGAAGAACCCAAGGAGAUUAGCCCGGAAGACUACAUCAUCAUCGACGGCACCGACUCGGAAGCAGAUAGUAGCGAUGAUGACUAUGUUGAUGAAGCAGGAGCAGAUAUUAUGGAGUCAACGACCGUAGAAUAUUUCUAA